This 252-nucleotide ribosomal RNA is filed under the name uncultured microorganism. RNAcentral's name for it is "partial 16S ribosomal RNA". It matches the Rfam family "Bacterial small subunit ribosomal RNA", at positions 524 to 776 of the family's 1533-position model. The record is from RNAcentral.
UACGUAGGUCCCGAGCGUUGUCCGGAUUUAUUGGGCGUAAAGCGAGCGCAGGUGGUUUAAUAAGUCUGAUGUAAAAGGCAGUGGCUCAACCAUUGUGUGCAUCGGAAACUGUUAGACUUGAGUGCAGUAGAGGAGAGUGGAAUUCCAUGUGUAGCGGUGAAAUGCGUAGAUAUAUGGAGGAACACCGGUGGCGAAAGCGGCUCUCUGGACUGUAACUGACACUGAGGCUCGAAAGCGUGGGUAGCAAACCGG